This is a long non-coding RNA of Xyrauchen texanus (razorback sucker), 303 nucleotides long. RefSeq lists it as uncharacterized. The record is from RefSeq and is a predicted model, not a curated record. The transcript has 3 exons. NCBI's taxonomy places the organism in Eukaryota, Metazoa, Chordata, Actinopteri, Cypriniformes, Catostomidae.
UAAAUGUUUUGAUAAUUAGUGUUUUUCCAAAUGUCUGAAUAAAAAUUACUUAUUGCAGAAUGGUACUUUUUUCCUGGGGGGUAAAUAUUUCGCACAGCUGGUGCAACCCUGCCCAGGUGUCUGCACGCAAAUCAGAAUUGAGAUGGACAUCAGAAAAUUAUUUGGACGAAGCAGGGACAGGAAAGCAGAAAGGAGAGUUGAGUUUGAGAGAGUGAAGAAAACAGCGUCUUCUCGACAUAUCGGCAACACAAACCAACUCAUCCUGGCCUCUGCUAUAACCACAGCUGGACUGGUAAUCUGGCA